This 253-nucleotide ribosomal RNA is filed under the name uncultured bacterium. RNAcentral describes it as "partial 16S ribosomal RNA". It matches the Rfam family "Bacterial small subunit ribosomal RNA", at positions 524 to 776 of the family's 1533-position model. The record is from RNAcentral.
UACGAAGGGUGCAAACGUUGCUCGGAAUUAUUGGGCGUAAAGCGCACGUAGGCGGCUUGGCAAGUCGGAUGUGAAAUCCCUCGGCUCAACCAAGGAAGUGCAUCCGAAACUGCUGAGCUUGAGUACUUAAGAGGAUCGCGGAAUUCCCGGUGUAGAGGUGAAAUUCGUAGAUAUCGGGAGGAACACCAGUGGCGAAGGCGGCGAUCUGGGAAGAUACUGACGCUGAUGCGCGAAAGCGUGGGUAGCAAACAGG